Molecule: long non-coding RNA, 310 nt
Filed under: Gossypium barbadense (sea-island cotton)
Lineage: Eukaryota; Viridiplantae; Streptophyta; Magnoliopsida; Malvales; Malvaceae
Description: long non-coding RNA (GBAR_LNC004212)
Source: RNAcentral
UAGCUUUCACAGGACUUAUAUUAUGAACAAUAAGAAAACGAAAAUCAUAACAUAAAUAAAACAACCAAACAAGUACAAAUAUAUAACGUCCACUACAAUCGAACAACCACUUGACCUCAAAAUUUGAAAAAAAAAAUCCCAACUUUUAACAUUCCAGUACAUAAAAUAAUCCUAUAACAUAUUAUAAAAUCAUAUCUAAAAAAUGACAUUACUUUCCUACAUUUUUGUUGGUGUUAAUAAUCAUUCAUCUAUGUUUCUACAAGGAAGAAACAACAACCAUACAACAAAUAUCAAUAGAAGCCAAUAAAAG